This 198-nucleotide ribosomal RNA is filed under the name uncultured bacterium. Its description in RNAcentral is "partial 16S ribosomal RNA". It matches the Rfam family "Bacterial small subunit ribosomal RNA", at positions 328 to 539 of the family's 1533-position model. The record is from RNAcentral.
ACGCUCGACACCUACGGGAGCAGCAGUCGGGAAUAUUGCGCAAUGGAGGAAACUCUGACGCAGUGACGCCGCGUAUGGGAAGAAGGUUUUCGGAUUGUAAACCAUUUUAGACAAGGAAGAAACAAGACAGUACUUGUAGAAUAAGCUCCGGCUAACUACGUGCCAGCAGCCGCGGUAAUCUGAGCGGGCUGGCAAGGC